This is a long non-coding RNA of Oncorhynchus tshawytscha (Chinook salmon), 840 nucleotides long. RefSeq lists it as uncharacterized. NCBI's taxonomy places the organism in Eukaryota, Metazoa, Chordata, Actinopteri, Salmoniformes, Salmonidae. The record is from RefSeq and is a predicted model, not a curated record. The transcript has 3 exons.
GUUUAUAUUGUCCGUUCAUCCAUUGACGACAGACUAUCAGAUUUUAAUUUGAUUGUGUUACUAGUUUCUGCUUAGUUGCAGAUCAAUGCUGCUGCUGCAGGGGUCCUGUGAUAAAUACAUGGACAACACGGUUGUUGAUCAAUGCUGCUGCUGCAGGGGUCCUGUGAUAAAUACCUGGACAACACGGAUGUUGAUCAAUGCUGCUGCUGCAGGGGUCCUGUGAUAAAUACCUGGACAACACGGAUGUUGAUCAAUACUGCUGCUGCAGGGGUCCUGUGAUAAAUACCUGGACAACACUGAUGUUGAUCAAUGCUGCUGCUGCAGGGGUCCUGUGAUAAAUACAUGGACAACACGGAUGUUGUUGAAGAAAAAGUGAACUUUGGAAAUUAAGCUGCACCUCCUGAAUGAAGAGAGUUAUUUGAUGAAGGGGUCAGUGCUCUAAAAUGAGUCUCUCUGGGGAACAUGACACCAAAACUAAGAGUCCAAUCAAGCAGGAGAGACCAGCCUCCCCUGUUCCCAGCUGUGUGUCCAUGAAGAGUGACCGGUCUAUGGAACCUCCUCUAACCUUUAGAGAGGGAGACUUUUCUACUGAACAAAGGUAAGAAGAACUCAUGGGUCCUGGUCAGUGAGUUAAACAACACUGUCUCUAGUCAUUUCUCCUCUCACAUUUUCCCAUUUAUUGUUGUUGUUUUCAUAAUCCAUAGGCUCAUCAUUUUGUCCAUUUGCAUAGUCCUAAAACAAUAUUAAACAAACACAACAUUCCCUCCCUGUGUGUGUGUGUGUGUGUGUGUGUGUGUGUGUGUGUGUGUGUGUGUACGUACUCCCUGGAUGAGGAGAAGU